UAUUUACACCUUCCUUCGCCAGGGAAUUACGAGCUCAAGCUUAAAACCCAAAGGACUUGACGGUGUCCCACCCAUCUAGAGGAGCCUGUUCUAUAAUCGAUUCUCCCCGAUUCACCUCACCACUUCUAGCCUCUCAGCCUGUAUACCUCCGUCGUAAGCUUACCAUGUGAACGCACCAUAGUGAGCCCAAAGAUUUUCCAUAAAUACGUCAGGUCAAGGUGCAGCCCACGAUGUGGAAAGCAAUGGGCUACAAUUUCUACCAUAGAACAAACGAAAGACUACAUGCAAUUCGGUCAUGAAGGCGGAUUUAGUAGUAAAAAGAAAAUAGAGAGUUCUUUUUAACUAGGCACUGGGACGCGUACACACCGCCCGUCACCCUCUUCAAAUGUUACUUCUACAGUUUUUAACAACUUUUUACCCCACAGAAGAGGUAAGUCGUAACACGGUAAGCGUACUGGAAAGUGCGCUUGGAUUAACAAAGUGUAGCUUAACCAAAGCAUCUCGCUUACACCGAAAAUAUAUCUGUUAAACCCGGAUCACCUUGAACGCCUAAAACCUAGCUUUACCCCUCACAUAUAAUACUCUUUCCUUUUUUCCUAAAGUAAAACAUUUUCAAUUAUUUAGUAGAGGCGAUCAAAAAAUAUCUUAAAGCUACAAAGAUAGUACCGCAAGGGAAAGGUGAAAUAGUAAUGAAAUAAUUCUUAAGCCAAAAAAAGCAGAGAUAAAACCUCGUACCUUUUGCAUCAUGGUUUAGCUAGUCUAACCAAGCAAAACGCAUUUUUAGUUUGACCCCCCGAAACUAAGCGAGCUACUUUAAAACAGCUUUUAGAGCAAACCCGUCUCUGUUGCAAAAGAGUGGGAAGAUUUUAAAGUAGUGGUGAUAAACCUACCGAGCUUAGAGAUAGCUGGUUGUUCAGGAAAGGGAUUUAAGUCCUACCUUAAGUCUUCCCGUAACUUCUAAUACCUCUAGUAGACUUAAGAGCCAUUCAAAUAAGGUACAGCCUAUUUGAACCAGGGUACAACCUACCUCUCUGGGUAACGACUCUCUUUAUACAACCAAGUGGGCCUAAUAGCAGCCACCUUUAAAAAAGCGUUAAAGCUUUAUUUUAACCUCACAUCAAUUCCUCUAUUUUACCGAAACCCUCCACCCAUACUGAAUGACUUCAUAUUUUAUGAAGGACCAUAUGCUAAAACUAGUAACAAGAAGAAGAACUUCUCCAAAAUGCAAGCGUAAGUCAUAAUGAACAAUUCACUGACACUUAACGUUUAUAAGCCCAAAGUAGUAACCCACCGAGAAAACUCUGCUUAAAACAACGUCAACCUUACACCAGAGCAUUUAUAGAAAGAUUAAAAGAACCGGAAGGAACUCGGCAAAUUUCUAACCCCGCCUGUUUACCAAAAACAUCGCCUCCUGAUAAACCAUAGGAGGUCUAGCCUGCCCAGUGACAAAGUUAAACGGCCGCGGUACCCUAACCGUGCAAAGGUAGCGCAAUCACUUGUUCUUUAAAUGAGGACUAGUAUGAACGGCAUCACGAGGGUUAUACUGUCUCCCCCCUCUAAUCAGUGAAACUGACCUCCCCGUGAAGAAGCGGGGAUAUAAAUAUAAGACGAGAAGACCCCAUGGAGCUUUAAACUCAGUAUCACCUGCUAUAUACUACAACCUCUCAUCCAUGCAGUUUUGAUAACUAGUUUUCGGUUGGGGUGACCGCGGAGUAAAACAAAACCUCCUCGAUGAAAGGAACUAACCUCCUAAUCCAAGAGCCACAACUCUAAGAAUCAAACUAUUGACAAAAAUUGAUCCAAAUAUAAUUGAUCAACGAACCAAGUUACCCUGGGGAUAACAGCGCAAUCCAUUUCAAGAGCUCAUAUCGACAAAUGGGUUUACGACCUCGAUGUUGGAUCAGGGUAUCCCAGUGGCGCAGCCGCUACUAAAGGUUCGUUUGUUCAACGAUUAAAACCCUACGUGAUCU
This 1970-nucleotide ribosomal RNA is filed under the name Microhyla sp. h VCH-2019. Its description in RNAcentral is "partial large subunit ribosomal RNA". The stretch from base 624 to 1970 matches the Rfam family "Bacterial large subunit ribosomal RNA", at positions 1 to 2606 of the family's 2925-position model. Lineage: Eukaryota; Metazoa; Chordata; Amphibia; Anura; Microhylidae. The record is from RNAcentral.